Molecule: ribosomal RNA, 283 nt
Filed under: Escherichia coli
Lineage: Bacteria; Pseudomonadati; Pseudomonadota; Gammaproteobacteria; Enterobacterales; Enterobacteriaceae
Description: partial 23S ribosomal RNA
Rfam family: Bacterial large subunit ribosomal RNA
Source: RNAcentral
CUGGAGGUAUCAGAAGUGCGAAUGCUGACAUAAGUAACGAUAAAGCGGGUGAAAAGCCCGCUCGCCGGAAGACCAAGGGUUCCUGUCCAACGUUAAUCGGGGCAGGGUGAGUCGACCCCUAAGGCGAGGCCGAAAGGCGUAGUCGAUGGGAAACAGGUUAAUAUUCCUGUACUUGGUGUUACUGCGAAGGGGGGACGGAGAAGGCUAUGUUGGCCGGGCGACGGUUGUCCCGGUUUAAGCGUGUAGGCUGGUUUUCCAGGCAAAUCCGGAAAAUCAAGGCUGA